CCUACCGGGAGGCAGCAGUGGGGAAUAUUGCACAAUGGGGGAAACCCUGAUGCAGCGACGCCGCGUGAGUGAAGAAGUAUUUCGGUAUGUAAAGCUCUAUCAGCAGGGAAGAAAUAAAGUCCUUCGGACUUUGGACGGUACCUGACUAAGAAGCCCCGGCUAACUACGUGCCAGCAGCCGCGGUAAUACGUAGGGGGCAAGCGUUAUCCGGAUUUACUGGGUGUAAAGGGAGCGUAGACGGCAGCGCAAGUCUGGAGUGAAAUCCCAUGGCUUAACCAUGGAACUGCUUUGGAAACUGUGCAGCUGGAGUGCAGGAGAGGUAAGCGGAAUUCCUAGUGUAGCGGUGAAAUGCGUAGAUAUUAGGAGGAACACCAGUGGCGAAGGCGGCUUACUGGACUGUAACUGACGUUGAGGCUCGAAAGCGUGGGGAGCAAACAGGAUUAGAUACCCUUGUAGUC
This 458-nucleotide ribosomal RNA is filed under the name uncultured bacterium. Its description in RNAcentral is "partial 16S ribosomal RNA". It matches the Rfam family "Bacterial small subunit ribosomal RNA", at positions 338 to 795 of the family's 1533-position model. The record is from RNAcentral.